GUAGGUGGCAAGCGUUGUCCGGAAUUAUUGGGCGUAAAGCGCGCGCAGGCGGUCCUUUAAGUCUGAUGUGAAAGCCCACGGCUCAACCGUGGAGGGUCAUUGGAAACUGGGGGACUUGAGUACAGAAGAGGAAAGCGGAAUUCCAAGUGUAGCGGUGAAAUGCGUAGAGAUUUGGAGGAACACCAGUGGCGAGGGCGGCUUUCUGGUCUGUAACUGACGCUGAGGCGCGAAGGCGUGGGGAGCAAACAGGAUUAGAUACCCUGGUAGUCCACGCCGUAAACGAUGAGUGCUAAGUGUUAGGGGGUUUCCCGCCCCCUUAGUGCUGCAGCUAACGCAUUAAGCACUCCGCCUGGGGAGUACGGCCGCAAGGCUG
This 373-nucleotide ribosomal RNA is filed under the name uncultured organism. RNAcentral's name for it is "partial 16S ribosomal RNA". It matches the Rfam family "Bacterial small subunit ribosomal RNA", at positions 527 to 896 of the family's 1533-position model. The record is from RNAcentral.